This 267-nucleotide ribosomal RNA is filed under the name uncultured bacterium. RNAcentral describes it as "partial 16S ribosomal RNA". It matches the Rfam family "Bacterial small subunit ribosomal RNA", at positions 29 to 321 of the family's 1533-position model. The record is from RNAcentral.
AACGAACGCUGGCGGCAGGCUUAACACAUGCAAGUCGAACGGCUGUAGCAAUACAGCAGUGGCAGACGGGUGAGUAACACGUGGGAACCUUCCUAGGGGUACGGAACAACUCAGGGAAACUUGAGCUAAUACCGUAUACGUCCGUAAGGAGAAAGAUUCAUCGCCCCUAGACGGGCCCGCGUCGGAUUAGUAGUUGGUGGGGUAACGGACCUACCAAGCCUACGAUCCGUAGCUGAUCUGAGAGGAUGAUCAGCCACACUGGGACGU